GACUGACUGAGUGGUGUGGAUUUGUUUUGCGCUGAUUACUGGGAAAGGAUUUGUAAAAGGAGAUUCCAGAAAUCUGCCAUUUGUAGAUUCCUGCGUGGUUCUUCACUGGCAGUGAAAAAUAUGUUAGAGUGGAGAUGAAGGGAGUGAAGGCCACAUGGUCUUCUGUUUCUUUCAGGGCUGGUGGAAUCUGCCUCCAGGAAAUGAGAAAUCUCUUGAAAAUAAAGGCCAACCAUUACUACACUUGAAUCAUUUAUGUUGCUGAGGUAAAUAGGGAAACGGGCUCAAUCACAUAGGCUUUAGCUCCCUAGCUGUGACAGUGGGCCCUUCCUUCUUUCUUACUGACAGUGGCCCCUUCCUUCAUUUUACUUUAGAACUGCUAGCCUCAGUGCUCCUAUUUGGCUUUUACAUCCCUUGUGUACAACAUAAGCAGAAGGGGCUGUUAAAUUCUUUGUAAGGGCAGAGGGCCCAAGACCUUUAGGCAUGGUGGACAGACAUCCAACUGGUGCAACUUUAUCAACUAUAUGAGGGUGGUAAAAUGAAGGAAGAGGCCACUGUCGUAUAGAAGUAGCAACAGUAACACUGCGAAGCAUUUGAGGCUUAUGUGACAGAGCAGGCUCAGUCCACCUCAAAGACAUGAGUUAAAAAUCACUGAAACGUAAUAAUGGUUGCCCUUUAUUUUUUAAAAAAAAAUCUCUUUCCUGGGAGCAGGGUGGAAGGGCAGAUUUCACCAGCCCUGACAAAAAUUCUUCUCAGCUGUUAAUAGGGCCAAAGGCAAAAAGAGCAGGGAAAAGAAAAGGUGUUCAGUGGGAAAUCCUUUGUUGUUUGUGUGCCAAGACCAUUUCAACGAGCAACUGUUUGGAAAAGUGGGGGCGGGGGAGAAGAGUUUCACAGCAGCAGAGAGGAGGGGAGUGAAGACCACAAGGUGUCAGCUUACCGCAAGGAAUUGUGACUCUCCACCAUCAGUUGUCCAAAUCUCUCGUACUCCCUGGACUGCAGUGCCUCAGCUGCCCGGGUAGUGCGUUCUAUCUCCCCAAUGGCAUGCCUGGCUCUCUUGUAUACCUCUCCACUCAUUAGGGACUUGGAAGCUGUCAAAACAAAAGCAACAUUCAGUCAGGCAAAAGGUUUCGAUGAAAGGGGAGAAUAGCGUCACACUGAAAAUGAGAAGAACUGGUUCGCGGUUAUGCACUUAGCAGUGGUGAGAAGUUGCCUCCACACAAAAAUUUUAAAAUACGCUGCCAAAGAAUGUGAGGUGGCCUCAUGGGGUGAUAGUACGUGCACAUGGAUGGGGAUGGAUGGAUCAACAUUUAACUGAGCACUGGCAAGAUCUGUCUGGUUGGAAACCCACCCCAGGAGAUGUCGAAUGCUGGUAAUGGACACACUCAGAUGCCAUGGAAUGCCAUCUGUAAAAUCAAUCAUUUUCCCAAACCAGACCGACCUUGUAAUCAUCCCAGCAGGGAUGAUGAGCCAGUUGGAGAUCAUGUAUGUGAGCUGCAACCAGUCCUUCAAGCAACUAUUACAGAAGAAAUGGGCGGAGUGGAUGUAUGGGGUAAGGGAACUUGCCAUACCAGGUUGUUGGAAGAAGCCAGACCUUUCUGUUAUCGUCUGGUGGAUCAAAAGAGGCAUGGGAGGCAACAGAUCCUGCCAUUAUAUGGUGGGGGUUCAAGAAAUGUUGCAUAACAAAUGGGAUGAGAAACUCUGAAGAUGAUAGCCUUCGGGUGAUAUUUGAAUCUACUGAUUCAGAGAAGAAAUGUGAAGGUUUUGCCAAAGACAAUGGUGAUGGGAACCUCAGAGUCAUCCAGCAACGAGCUCCUGACUCCUGAGGACAAGAAGGUUUGUAAAUAAAGUUGAUAUUACCUAUUCUCUGUUUUCUACCACUACAUGCUCACUCCCUGUCACAGAAAUCAUAGAAACAUAGGAAGCUGCCGCUUAUCCAUCUAAAAUGUGUAUUAUGCAUGUGGGCGUUUUUAGAUUCAGAAAAAGACAGUACAUAAUUUGUCCAUUUGUGGAGGGAUACAAUGAAAUAAUGUAAGAAGUCAGGAAGUUGGCUGGCAGGAACCAAGCACAAGAGGAACUCUUGUGAGACUAUAUGGGGCACUUGGAUGCAAGUGCGAAAGCUGGAGGGAACAAAGUUGGUAGACGAGGUGCUUUGGGAUACAGACAGAAGUCUGAGCCCCAGUACAGUGCAGAGGGGUAGAAGUGCUUUUUACGGUUUCUCCCUUAAUUUACAUCUUUACUCUUGAGGGAUGUUGUGUUCAAAACCAGAGAUGUUCAGAUUAGAAACAACUAACUGAGGGAGUUUAACUGUAAUACCUCCAGAAGCAUGUCUAGUAUAUUUUCCAGACUGCUAACCAAUCUUGCUAAUCAUUUUGCUCUAUUAGGGUCACAAGGAAAAAUCAACUUGUGUUAAUCAUAAUGAGUCUCACAGUUGAAUUUGUAUUAAAAUGAGCAGUCUAGCAGUUUAUUUUAGUUGUGGAGAUAAAAGAGAAUCACUUUGGUCAAACCAAUGCUACAUAUGCCCACAACUCUCUAUAUCAACACUAAAAUUGUUCAUAUUCAGGAAGUAGAAACCCCGACACUUUGGGACAAAAGUAUGUAAAUUAAGCAAAAGAAACACUUCCAUAACCUUCCCUAUACAACCCAAAAACAUAAUCUGGGAUUUUGCAGGAUUUGGGGUUAUUUCUAAUAAGAACUGGGGCUGGAGAACAGAAGGGAAGAAUGGGAUAUACAGGAGAACCCUAUUUGUGGGGGUACCGUUCGGGGGGGGGCAUAGAUAGCGAAUCCACAAAUAACUGGGAAUUGAAAUGAAUGCAAAUGGGGGGUGAGGUUCGCACACUGCCCCAAAUGCCCC
Hemicordylus capensis (graceful crag lizard) is the source of this 2848-nucleotide long non-coding RNA. RefSeq lists it as uncharacterized. The record is from RefSeq and is a predicted model, not a curated record. Lineage: Eukaryota; Metazoa; Chordata; Lepidosauria; Squamata; Cordylidae. The transcript is spliced from 4 exons.